AACAGACUUCCCUUUCCACCUAAAGCAGGGGUAAUUCCGUCCACAAAAAAACAGCUGUAUGGACAAUGUGUCCCAACCACAGAAUGUGUCUCUAAAGGUAAGAGAAAGACGUAAUGUGUCUCUGUAUGUAAAUGUCUCAAAUAUGAAUCUAGAUAAGCUUUUGGUUGAAGUGGGGUUGUAAACGAUAUUGUAUUUCCAUUGUCGGAUUAAUAUUAUAUAUUUAGUUAAAAAAAGUGUCAGCCUACUUCAUUUUUUUUCCUUGGGCAUAAGUGAAUGUCGCACUCAAAUAGUGUUUAAAAAAAAAAAAAAAUCUACUUCAGAAUCUAUGUAUUUGGUUUUGGAGCUCUCAAUUAGGAUUCUAUGUUUUGGUUUUAAGGAUCGAGCCCAUUUAAACCAUUGGUCGGGUUUUAGGCUUUCUUGGGUUAGUCCUAUUGUGUGUGUCUUUUAAAUUCAUUAGUCUUAGGCUAAACGAACCAUGACAAAAUUAUUCGAGCCUUUCCAGAUUCGGGCUGUAUGUAGACGGAAUGGCUCGAUAUCGUAAUUCCAAGUCUUUUAAAACUAUCUCAUGUUCUCCAGAAUCCAGUAGAUAAUAAUUUUCAAGAAACAAAGCUAUGAAUUAUACUUUUUC
Molecule: long non-coding RNA, 628 nt
Filed under: Brassica rapa (field mustard)
Lineage: Eukaryota; Viridiplantae; Streptophyta; Magnoliopsida; Brassicales; Brassicaceae
Description: long non-coding RNA (BRAP_LNC003375)
Source: RNAcentral